RNAcentral lists this long non-coding RNA (22939 nucleotides) under Capsicum annuum. RNAcentral's name for it is "long non-coding RNA (CANN_LNC001644)". The record is from RNAcentral. Lineage: Eukaryota; Viridiplantae; Streptophyta; Magnoliopsida; Solanales; Solanaceae.
AGCAACACUAACAGCAACAUCUAAGCCAAUAAUCUUCACAACAUUUCAAAGCAUAAAGUGUAUAAUAGCAACAUUAUUGAUCGAUUAACAGCACUGAUCGAUUAAUAUAGUAACUCACUAGUUGAUUAACAUCACAAUAUUUCAAAACAUAAAGUGUAUAAAAGGAUAUCCAUAACAGUCCUCAACAACAAAACUAACAACAUUACAGCAUCUUAAGACCAGCGGAGUUCUUCUCCUUAUCUGACCCACACCGUAGCAUCAAUAAGCAAUAAGCCAAUAACACCUACUACAGUAACUAUCAUUCUACAACAAAAUAACAUGGUGCACUACAUGAACCGCACGAACAACUUUUAUUGGGACAAUUUAGGAACUAGGAUUGUAGUCUAUUUGCAGAUUGUCAUGGACAAUAAUUUCAGGCUGCAGGAAAUAUUUAUAUUAAUUAUAUAGUAGCAACAGCCAGCAACGCAAAAAGCCAAAAACAACAGCACAACCUAAAAGGCUAAAAUAGUAGCAACGUAACAACAAAAAAUGCAAAAACAAUAGCAGCUUAAAAGGCUAAAAUAAUAGCAGCCCACAAAAAAAUAAAAUAGUAGCAACAACAAGUCUUAGAAGUUAAAAUUCGACUAGGGCGAAUCAUCUCAAGUGUUUAAAGACGAAUCAACUUCUUCUUGUCUUUCAUAGAACACUUCUUAAAAUGUUUACGCAAAGAAAAUGUGCCACAUAUUUUCAGAUGAUAAUUGAAGGUUAAGCCACAUUUCAACAUCUUGAUUUACGCACUUCUUCAUUGUCUUGACUUACCUCAUAAUGUUUCCAAAUAGCCAAGUAAACUUUAGAUUUAAGAGGCAUCACUUGAACCUUCAACAUAAAAUAAAAAAUUAGAAUAUAACUUACAAUUUAUAAAAGGAUAUAACCAAACAAAUAAAGUAUUGAACUCACCAAUCAUCACCACUACUAACUACUAGCAAAUCACAAUCAUACAUCAACAAUGCACGAGCCUCGUCCACUAUUUGACAUCUCUAAAAUAAAAUUUAACAAAUAUGUUCUACUACAACAAAUAAGUAUUUUUUUUUUUUUUUGCAAAAACACACAUGAAAAAUACAAAGUCUUACCAAGUUCGAGUUUCUCAAGAAACUCCAAAUUUUCUUCAACACAAAUAGGACUAGUCUCUUGUCUAAGCCAAUUUUGAACACAAAUAAGGCAUUGCACAUAUUUAGAAGUCUACAAACUUCUAAAUGAAUCAAGAAUACGAUUGUUGAUGCUAAAUGCACAUUCCAAUGUCACACUUGACAUUGGAAUAGCCAAUACAUCAUGAGCCAACUGUGAAAGGACAUGAAACCUAGGAGAAUUAACUUUCCACCAUUUUAAGAUAUCAAAAUCCUCAAAUUCAGAUUCGGAUCUAGGCUCAGGCACAUGCUCUUGGUCUUCACCAAGGUAUUUAUCUAACCCUGAUUUAGUACGUCUGGUACUACCAGUCUACCACAAUCUUUCGAUUUUUUCUUCAUGUGAAGCUUAUUUCUCUAAGUGUUUGUCAUCAAAUUUUGAGGAAGACCAAAAUUAGAUGAAUCAGAUCUAGAUGAGGGAGAUGAAGCGUAUCCAGAUGAAGAUGAAUUAUUUUUAGAACCUUUUGAAUACUUUCUUACAUAAAAAGCAAACAAUCUUUCAAAUAAGUUUCUACUUCAUUACUUACUUUCUUUCCCGUUUCUUUCCGUAAUAGCUCUUCAAGCACAAAUCUUUUCAGGAGUCCCCCAAUAAGUCUUAAACUUUUCUUUCAUCUAUUGACAUCUAAUUUUUGUCCUCCACAACUAGGUUUAGUCCCGAUUUUCUUCGAUUUUCAAAUAAUAUUAUACUAUUUAUUUUAUCCGAAUAAAAAACUUUUCAAAUUAUUUAUCUGAGUAAUUUUGCUAUUUUAAGUAGCAAUUAUAUAUCAUCGUAUAUAAUUAUACGAAAUUAUAUAAUUUUUUUACUUAGAUAUUUAUUUUACGAAAUAUCAAAUUUUAAUCAAAGCUUAUCUUAAAAGUUAAUUCAAAUGGGUAAAAUCUUGAUCUAAAUAUGAUUUGUUCUAAAAAAUAAUUUAUUUGGAGAAAUAUUUAUUUGAUUUUAUCUAAUCAAGAAGCUUAGGAUUAAAGGAAGUAUUAAUUCGUAUCGAAUUUCAAUUUAAUUUAGCCAAUCUAUUGAAUUUGGCCAUAAUUAAAAUCAAAUCGGCCAUAAUUGGAAUGCAAUCCGUCAAUUGAUUUUCAAUUUGGUCAAAAUUAAAUAAGUUUGACUAAAUUUUAAAUCAUAAUUGGGGUUAUAUUUUAAAUAAUUUCAAAAUCCCCCCAAAAUGACCUAAAUCUACCUAUUCAAAUUGAAUUUCAAAUUUGUACUAGAUAGUACAAUUCCACCUCAAUCUUGCCUUUUUUCAAAUUUGAAUUUUAAAAUUUGUACUAGAUUGUACAAUUCUACCUCAACCUUGUUCUUUUUUCAAUUUGAAUUUCAAAAUUUGUACUAGAUUGUAUAGUUUCACUCCAACCUUGUUCUUUUUUCAAUUUGAAUUUCAAAAUUUGUACUAGAUUGUAUAAUUCCACCCCAACCUUGUCUUUUUUUCAAUUUAAAUUUCAAAACUUGUACUAGGUUGUACAAUCACCUCAAUCUUAUUAUUUUUCCACAUUUGAAAUUCAAAUUUUAAAUUCAAAAUUUGCAGUAGAUUGUACAAUUCCAACUCACCUUAUCCUCCAACAAACCUUACCCUCAAUUUUCAAAUUUCUCAAAAAACCCCUAAAUUCUUUCUCCCACAUUGGUGGAUUCAAAGAAUUGAAUCUCCAUCAUUUCCUAUAAUACUAUCACUAUUUUGAUAGAAAGUCAAAAAGUCUCAAAGAGUGAAAAAAAAAAAUCUUUGAGCAAAUAAUUAAAUUUCUUUUCUUUAGUAAAAUUUUUCAAGUGGUAGUCUAAUUGGGGUUCUCGAAAGAUUAUUUUUCAGUGGUGAUCAAGACUCCGAAGAAAGCUUGAAGUCCCGUUUUGCUGCUCCAAAAAAGUUAAACACACCUUUCCCCUUUUAGUUUUAUUAUCGUUUUCUUCUUCAUCUCUUUUUUCUUCUUAAUUCGUAGUUGUAAUUUUGUUUAUUGGGAUUGCUUGCAGUAGACGACCUUGAAGGCCAUAGGACGUUGUGUAUCGAUAUUAUGGUUAUUUUCAUGCUCAUGGUAUAAAAAUGAGCUAGCAAUAGUUGAACGUAUUUUGUUGACUUUAUUCUUUGAUUAUUAUUGAUAAAGUUUUUAUCUUUGUUUAAAAUAUGUACUCAUGAUUUGUUUAAAUUCAUUGUUAGCGUAUAUAUUUGUUUUUAGCAUGUAAAGUUGUUUCCUUUAUGUUGAAAAGAAUAGUUAAUAUUGAUUGUUUCGCCUUUUACCUUUAUUCUUUGAUUAUUAUGAAUAAAGUUUUGAUCUUUGCUUGAAAUGCAUGCUCAUACUUUGUUUAAAUUUGUUAUUGGUAGAUAUGUUUACUUUUAGUAUGUAAAGUUGUUUCCUUUAUAUCGAAAAGGAAUGGUUACUAUUGUUAAGGAUCUGUGAAAUUGUUUCUCAAUUUGAAGUAGUGAGUUACUUAUUUUUAUGGUCAAAACUGUCUUUGAUUUACUCUUAUUUAGAUUGAAAAGUUGUUAGGGUCAUAGAUUUUGUUGAAAUGGUGUAGACCUACAAUAGGAGUUAGCAUAAUUGGACACUUUUUCUUAGAAUUAAUAUUUUACUAUUUCUUUCAUUUUGUCUUCGAAUAUCAUUUCUCAAAUAUGCUUAAUAUAUGCUAUUAGUUUCACUUUGCUUAUUGGUUUACUUCUUAAAGUGUUUUAUUCAUUUAUACGUCGCAUUGUUAUUCACAUGUUAUAGUAAAUUUUUCUUCUAAAUUAUAAAUAUGUUGAUUGACUCCACUUUGUAUUGAAAAAGUGUCGUUACAUUAGUAUGUCUUAUAUUUCAUAUUUGAGGUGCUAUGAAAGAUUUCCUCAUCUCUUGCUUAUUCUUUUUUUCUUUGCUUAAUGAAAACAUGCCUAAGUGUAAGACCCCGCAAAAUUUCUAAGAUUAAUUCAGUCCUUUAAGCUUGUCAAGGGGUCCCAUACUUUAAGAAAAAAAAAAAAAUUCUAACUAAGUUCCCAGGCUUAGCCUAUUAUUGGCCUUCGAAAGUUGGCAAUCUCAUUUUGCCACCUUAACAUCCUUUAAUAGUCUGUAUUUUUGUUAAUUCAUGAUCAGAGAGGUCCAUAGGUGGUUCCGGACAAAUUUUGGAUUUUUUGGACCACGUUUGGAAGCCCCAAGUAGUGAACCGAUGCGAUCUUGGCACGCCGUAUCACCAAUCGCGUUGGUUGAUAUUAUUGCAGGUUGCCAGGGUCAAAGUACUGAGACUUGAUGCAAUAAUGGCACGACGCGUCGACUAUCGCGUCAUGCCAUCGACGCGCCGCGUCGAUAAUAGCGUUGAUACCCAAUUUCAGUCAUUAAAUGUCUGCAUUUUUAAGAGAAGAAGGGUCAAUUUACCACCCCUAUAUAAGUCUAAAAAUCGGAAUUUAGCCCCAAUUCAACCAAAAUAUAGUGUCUCUCUCAAGAAAAAGUUAGGGUUUUCAAUUAAGGAUUCAAAUUCAAUACUCAAAUUCAAGAAUCUCUCCAUCAGUCAUCGUAAAAUCAAGAACUAAGGUAUGUCAAGUGUUGAUUUAUGGAUUCCUUUCAUCCAUGAAGUCCAAGAACCCUCUUUCAAAUUAUAAAACCUGAUAUUUAUGUUGCGGGUUAUUUGUAACCAUGUUUAUCUUGUUGUAUGAUUCCCAAUUUAGAAUUUUUAUGUGUUUUUUAUGAAACUACGUUAGCAUGGAAGUUGAAAUCCAUGAAAUUGAGUUGUUUAUGAUGUGUAAGUUAAUGAUUGCACCUAUGCCCUAAGCUAUGCAUGUAAGGUGUUUGACAAAAUGCCUAAGAGGAUAGAAAUUGUGUAUUAUAGCUCAAUUGUGACUCAAAUAAUAAAUGCAUGCUUUACCCUUAUGACCAAGAAUGACUUCCAUGAUAUUGUGUGCAUUAUGAGUAUUUGAUGGAAUGUUCAUGAGAUUAGGUUGAUGAAAGUAUGACAUGUCUAUUUGCAAUUUCAUCCAUAUACAACAUUAAGAUAACCAUGUGCUUCAUUAAAUUCCCAACUUAUUGUAUUAUGAAUUGUUGAUGUUGGUCACGUGUUCAAGAAGUGUCAAGUCUUGUCAGUUUCAUGCUAUCGAGUCCUGGGGGUACUUGUACUUGACAAUUUAGCUGUGUGCCUAGAGCUAGUGUCAGUUUUCAUGAUACUCUCAAUCAAGUCAUGAUCAUUAGAAUUCAGUCAGUUACAUGACUCAGGAAAACUCAGUAAUUUCAGUACUCUCGGUAAUCUCAGUAACCUCAAUAAUCUCAGUAAUCUCAGUCAGUUAUCAGAUCUCAGUAGUAUUCCGUCAGUCAACAAAAAUUUAGUGAACUCUGUUCAAAUCAACUAAACAAUACUAUCAGUAAUAGUUUAGUUCAAUUUAAACCAUUUCAGUGUCUCUUCAGUUGGGAGUAGGAUUCAGCACCGAGUGAACCCAAAGAUGGGGACUCACCUGUUAGCCAGUAGAGGGUGUAAUCCUUGCAUUCCAAAACUACGUAGCCAGCAUAGGUUGAGAUGUACCCUACUAGUUUAGGGAUUAUACACCUCAUUCGAGUUUUCCUACUAGGAGGGGUUGACGGAAGAGCUUCCUGUUAGAGAGGGUUUACUCACAGCUUGUCUUUACCCGUGGUAUGGUACUGGCACCUUUCCAGCUGGGGUUACAGGUUGGACCCCACCAAUUCAGUUUUGGGGCAUAUCAGUUAGAUGAUUACCUCCUACAGUCUCAGUUUUAAAUCCAGUCUCAGUAAUAAAACUCAAUUUAGUUCUAUAGUUUCAGGACUGUCAGAUACAGUCGCUCAACUCAAUACGGAACUCAACUAGUUCUAUCAGAAUCAAGACUGCCAGACACAGUCAUCCAGUUAAUAAUAUAUUAAUUAUACAAAAUUCAUGUUACCAGUAUUCAGAUUUCAGGACUGUCAGAUACAGUCAAUCAAACUAGUUUUUCAUAAUCAGAACUGUCAGAAACAAUCAUUUCUUUAUCAGUAAUAUGACAUCAGUUCCUCAGUACUAAAUGGACUUAGUCAUUUAGUAUCCCAGUAUUAGUACUCAGAUAUCAGUAAAUCCACGUUAUCAGAAUUCAUAAGUUAGUGUUAUCAUGAUCUCAGUUACAGUUACGUAUUCAUGCAUGUAUUUUCAUGUUCAUGUUAUUCAAUCAAUUAGUAUUGUUCAUGCAUAUGAACCAUUGCAUUCAGCCUACCUCACUUGCAUACCAGUACAUUCAAUCGUACUGACGUAUUUUCACUAUGUUGUUUUAUACAAUAGGUUCAGAAGCACGCACUCCAGAGUAUCAGUAGCAUUCUAGUUUCAGCAGUUAGAAUCAGCAGUGAGUCCUCAUCAUCCGAGGAUGUUAUUAUUUGAUUAUUUAAUUUUUUAGUACUUAUUUUAUUUUAGUAGAUAGAGUUAGUUGGGGGAUUAUCCCAUCAACUCUUUAUUCAGACAAUUCAGUUUUAGAGGCUUUCAGACUACAACACGUUCAGACAGUUAUUUCAGUUAUUUUGGUAUUGUUAUACCAUAUUUUUAGUUAUGUAUCAGUAUUGAACCUUAUGGCCUUUCAGUUCAUGUUUUCACAUUUAUGAUAUUAUUAUUAUUAUUCAGUGCUCAGUUACAGAUAUCAGUCAUGGAUUAUCUUGUGGUCCUUUGGGAUAACGAGCAUUGUGUAGAAUUUUGGGUAUUAGAUUUGGGGCAUUACAAACUUGGUAUCAGAGCCUAAGGUUCAACAGUAUCCAAGAAAGUCUGAAAAGCCGCAUCUAGUAGAGUCUUGUACAUGGGUGUGUUAUGCACCACACUUAUGUGUAAGAGAUUAUGAGAUAUUUUAGGAACAGUUUCCCUUCUUUCAGUAUUUAUGUCGUGCGAGUGAGUAUGAGUUCCAUCCAAACUCUCAGUUUAAUCCUUUUUUCUCUUUCAUUUACAGAAUAUGCCUCUAAAGAGGACUCAGGAAAGAGGAAUGGGAGAUCAGCCAGCCCCUCAUCCCGAUUAGCCUAACCCUUUAGGCGAAUAUGUCUCUCAUACAGAAUUCAGGACUGCAUUUACUACUCUAGCCAAUUUAGUCACAGCUCAGAAUGACCGGUCAGCUGCUAUUUCGGCCAACCCAGUGGCCAAUUCUUCUAUAUCUAGGAUUCGAGACUUUACCCGAAUGAAUCCUCCUCUAUUCUUAGGUUCUAAGUCCGAAGAGGAUCCACAAGAGUUCCUUGAUCAAGUUCAUAAAGUCACAGAUAUCAUGGAAGUGACUUCCAAUGAGAGUACAGAGUUAGCUGCCUAUCAGCUACAAGAUGUAGCCCAUACGUGGUUUAAGCAGUGAAAGGUAGAUAGGGGUGCAGAUGUAGAGCCCAUAGAGUGGGAAGAGUUUGCUAUGACCUUCUUAGGUAGAUUCUUUCCCCUAGAAUAGCAAGAAGCCAAAGUGUUAGUGUUCAUCAACCUUAGACAAGGUAGCAUGAGCGUAAAAGAAUACUCCCUCAAGUUCACUCAGUUUGCCAGGUACGCUCCCCAUGUAGUAGCAGACAGUAGAUCUAGAAUGAAUAAGUUUAUGUCUGGGAUAUCAGGUAGAGUGGUUAAGGAGUGCAGGACUGUGAUGUUGAUUAAGGAGAUGGACAUAUCUAGGAUUAUGGUCCAUGCUUAAUAGAUUGAGGAGCAGAAACUUAUGAAGGAGAGGGAAAAUAAGAAAGCCACAACUGGUAGUUAUAGUUUUUCUCAGCCAGGGUCGCAGGUGGUAACCAUUUUCAGCAUAGACAGAAGUUUCCAACCCUAGUUCCAUCUUCAUCUAGUGUACCAACACCAAUGUUCAGAAAUAAUUGUAGAGAUGGGGUACCAGGCUCCAAGGCCCAUGGUAGUGAGGGCAGGGUUUUUACUCAUCCACUGUGCAAAGAGUGUGGUAAGCAUUAUAAGGGUAUAUGUAGAGCUGACAGUGAUGUGUAUUUCAGAUGUGGCGAGUCAGGUCAUAAGGUCUGAGAUUGUCCUAGGACUGGCCCUAAAAGCAAGCACGACACUCCUUCAGUUCAGUCCGGUCGCUCAAAUCAGCAGGGUGCCAGUUCCAGUGCUAUCAGUGGGCAACGACCAAACAACAUCUAUGCACUUCAGUCCCGAUAGGAUCAGUAAAGUCCUCCUGGUGCAGCCACUGGUAUGUACAGGUCCCUCAUUUAUGUGUUCACGUUUCUUUAGAUUUAGGAGCUCCUUUUUUCUUUUAUAACUCCUUUCAUAGUAGUCAAUUUUAAGGCCAGACCAAAUAUUAACAGGACCUUUUCCAGUAUUUACCCCAAUGAGUUAGUGUAACACAGCCCGAUGGUAUUCAGUAACUGUUCGGUUAUGAUAUCUCAGAAAUUUAGGCCUUUAGAUUUUAGUAGUAAUGCCAGUAUGUGUAUAAAAUUAAUAAGGGAAGAUGAUUCUCGACCCAUUCUUACCUCAGUGUAAAGUUUUGUACUUCAACCCUCCCGAUAUUUACACAUGCUUUAUGUUUCAGUCCCACGAAUACAACUUAUAUCCAUGCACUUUUCAUAGAAUAGUGUGUGUUUUAAGUUUCUCGUAUGAGGAGUCCAAGUUCAUCCAAUGUUGCGAAUCAUGUUCCACGAAUUCAGAAAUUCCAAACCUAAUUCGUGCAGCUCAUGACUCAUGCACUCAUGUCAUGCUUUACAGUAUGCGUAGCCCACACGAUUCAUGACUUCACUCCUAGUGUUCAGUCAAACUCAGAUUAUGCCACGUAUACCCUUAGUUUAGAUCCACCGAUGAAUCAGUAGUGUUGAUGUUCCAUCCUGCAGGCCUUAGAUACAGUGUCAGUUCAGUAAUUAAUAUUUAGUAAAGGACUCAGAUAGUCCUACAGAACCAUGGCUUUCAGCUAUUAGUUACUUAGCUAUCAGAAUUCAGUACUCCCAUACCAGUCUAACCCUCAGUUAUAGAAAACCAAUAUUCAGUCUCAGUUACAGUCUUAGUUACGGUUACAGUCUUAAUUACCAUCUUAACUACAAUCUCAAUCCCAGUCCUAGUCCAGUUAGAUCAGAAACUCAGUCCAGUUUCAAGAUUUCCCGACCAUAGUAUAUGGCCAUCAGUUACUCAGAUAUUAGUAUUUCAGUACCUCAGUUUAUAGAAUGUUCUCGAAUCAUGUUAGAUGCCUGGUCUUGCAUUCCUAACAUAAUAAAAUUUUCCCUCACUCAUGCUUAGUUACCUCAUGUUACCCAGUUAGUCAUUACCUUCUAUGCAUAACACUCUAUAGUUUUAGUCCAGCUAUCCCAAAUCAAAUGCAGUUCAGUUUUACAUAUCAGUAUUCAGCUAUUAGUCAUUCAGUUAAUUAGAUAAAUUAGUAUAUCCAUGCAUUCGUGCUCAGCGCCCAUGUGAAUCUCUUUAGUAGUCUCAGUUUUAGUGCAUAAGGUUUAGUCACCUUAUCUUAGACGAUGUUUCAUAGGCCUUGCCUCCUAAUACAAAAAAAUCCCAGCCAUGUAGCGAUCUCCUAUUUAGAUGUCCUACUUAGGCCAGACCAAGAUUUGUUUUCUCCCUUCUUAGGAAUGUACCUGUUCCAAGAUAGAAAGUCCCAGUAGUUACAAGAUCAGCUUAGUUCAUAUAUCAUGUCUUAGCUUUAGAUCCCAUAUAUUCAGUCGCGAUUCAGUUUAUAGGUACCCUGUGCAUCGUCCCAGUUUUUCUUAGUAUCUCAGUUAAAUAUAUAUUUUUCUAGGGACAUAAUGUUCGAUGGGGGAGAUACACGAUAAUUCCCCAAACUCUCAUGACAAAAACAUGCCAUUAUCUCUCCUCAUAAUGAAUCUAGUUUGGAGUAAGAGGGUACUUAUAAGUUGACCCUCAACCCCCGAACUCAUCUGUAAGCCAUAUAUUCAAGGUGCUCAAUUCAGAUCAUCAUAAUCCAGCUCAUGUAUCACGUUCCAGACUCAGUUACGUUCUCAUGUUUCCACUCAUGCAUAAUUAGUAAUUAAUCUCAGACUCAUCAGUAUUUUCAGUUUAAUGUAACAGUCUUUCUGAAACUCAUUCAGUUUUAUGUUUAGAUUUUAGUUUCAAACUCAGCAUUCAGUUCCAUGUUCAGAUUCUUAUUAUAAACUUGUUAUCAAAUACAAUUUCCUAUUCAGUCAUGCAUUCAUGUAUUGGUUCAGCCAUAUAAUCAUGCAUUAGACAUACAUUCACAUCGUGAGAAACUCAGCUUAUUAGAAAUCUCAGUCAUGCAUUCAUAAACCAGUUAGUCAUGCAUCAGAUAUGUAUGUUCAAUAUGAUACAUUUGGCUUAUCAGUUAUGCUAGUCAUGAAGUUAUGUCUCUAUUGUUCAUUUUCAAUAUGUACUUCACUUUAUCAUUUCUCCCCUCUCAGCCAGUCUCAUUCGAGGAUGAAUAUUCCUAAGGGGGACAUAUUGUAAGACCUUAUAAAAUUUCAAAGCUUAAUUCAGUCCUUUAAGAUUAUCAAGGGAUCCCAGACGUAAAAAAAUAAAAUAAAUUCUAACUAAGUUCCCAAACUUAGCCUAUUAUUGGACUUCAAAAGUUGGCAAUCUCAUUUCGCCACCUUAAUUUUAUGGUUAUGUUUUAAUUUAUGUUAUGUUUAACUGCAAGUCUAGAGCCCAUAUCGGUUUUUACGAUAAUCUCAGUCAAGCCAUGAUUCUUAGAACUCAGUUAAUCACAGAACUCAGCACUCUCAGACAGUUACAGAACUUAGAAAAUCUCAGCAAUCUAAGUAUCAUUAGCAUUCCAGCCUCAGUUCAGUACUCAACUCAGAUCUUAGUAGUAUCCAAGUGUUUAGUUCAGACCUCAGUAACAUUAUAGUAAUCAAUUCAGAAUUCAGUAUUAUUCAGUCAGAUAAAGAGAUCCAGUAGUAUUUCGUCAGUCUUCAGAACCAAGUGAACUCAUCUUAAAUCAGUAGAUCAGUAUGCUCGGUAACAAAUUCAGCUCAGUCUAAGUUCAGUUAAGAAUAUGUUUAGAGUCUUUCAGUUGGGAGUAGUAACUAGCACCGAGCGAGUACAGGGAUGGCAUAUUCCCCGUUAGAGAGGCAGAGUCAUUAGUAACAAUCCCUGAAUUCCAGAACUCCAUAGCCAGCGCAGGACUAGUAGUUACCCGUUAGAUUAAGGCUUAACUAUCAUAUUUCCUUAGGCUUGACUUCAUGUUCAGGGCCACCCGUUAUAGAGGCUUGAAAAUAGUAGAAGGAUUUUCCCGUGGCACGGUAUUGACACCCUUUCAACUAGGGUUACAGGUUGGACCUCACUAGUUUAGAGUUGGGGCACGUUGGUUAAGUGAGAAAUCCUACAGUUACAAUUCAGUCUCUGUUAUCAUAGUAGCACUCAUAUAUAUGAACUGUCAGAUACAUUCAUUCAACUCAGUGAGGAACUUAGAUAGUUCCAUAGAUUCAUAGACCACCUGCUAGAAAGGCCUGGUCUUACAUAAAGUUAACCAAUAUCAAUACUAAUCGAUUCAGAGAUCGCCCACUGAUAGGCUUGAUCUCAAACUUAGAUUCAAUCAUUCCUUAUCAUUAUUACUAGAUUUAAAGAUCAUCCGCUAUAUAGGUUUGAUCUCAGUUUCAGUCAGUCGAUAUUAGUAAGCUCAGAAUUUAGUCAUCAGUAGACUCGAUUAUUCAGACUUUUAGUGUUAGUAAAUAUAAAUAUCAGUAUUAGUAGACUCAGUUGUUUGAAGUUCAAGUAUUUAGAAGGUAGUAUUCAGUCCAUACAUGUAUCCUCAUUCAGUACUCUCAUGUUAUUUAGUUAAGUUAUGUUCAUGCAUAAGCCCUUGCCUUUAGCCUUACCUCAUCUAGCAAACCAGUACAUUGAAAGUACUGAUGCAUACUUUUCUCUUGUGCUAUGGUGUCUUAUACCAUAGGUUCAGAUGAGCGAGAACCAGAUCACCCUUAGCAGUCCCGACUCAGCCAGCAGCAGUUGACUUAGCAGUGAGUCUUUAUCAUUCAAGGAUGAUCCUUAUUUUACUAUGGCAUUAGACUCAGUUUAUUUUCAGUAGAUGGAGUUAGUUGGGAACAUGUCCCAUCAACUCCACAGUUCAGAUAGUUUAGAGGCUUUUCAGAUAGAUGUAUCAUUAUUUAGUUUUUAGUAUUGAUUAUUUUAGAUAUUUGAACCUUAUGGCAAGUUUCCAAUAGUUUUUCAUAUUUAUUUCAGUAUAUUAUGUAGUGCUCAGUUACAGAUAUUAGAAAGGGUUAGCUUGUGGUCCCUCGGGGUCAUGAGCAUCGUGUGGCGUAUUGGUUCUAGAAAAUUAGAGCGUUACAAACUUGGUAUCAAAGUCUAAGGUUUAAUAGUGUCCUAGGAAGUUUGAAAGCUACAUCUAGUAGAGUCUUGUGCAUGGGUGUGUUGUGCACCACAUUUAUGUAUGGGAGGCUAUAAGAUGUUUUAGGAAUAGUUUCCCUUCUUUUAGUGUUCAUGUCAUGCGAGUAUGCAUAAGUUCCAGUUAAUUCUCAGUCUGAUCCAUUCUUUCUUUCAUUUACAGAAGAUGCCUCCUCGUAGAGCCAAUGCCCGUAGGGAUGACAACCAGCCAUCCCAGCUCGUAGAUCCUGAGAAUGAGAAUGUGUCAUAUACAGAGUUUUGGGUAUCUUUUCAGGUGCUAGCCCAAGCUGUGAUGACUAAUGUUCUGGGGAAUCAUCAGGAUACAGCCUCACCUCAGCAAGAUGGGGAUUCAGCCACGGCCAGAAUUAGAAAUUUCAUGAGAAUGAACCCACCAAAAUUGUUUGGGUCAGUAGCAGGUGAGGACCCACAACUUUAUUUUGAAGAGGUAAAGAAGAUCAUCCAGAUUAUGCAUAUGUAUGAGAAAUAGAGUGUAUAAUUAUUAUCCUAUAGUUUAAGGAUAUUGCUCAUGAUUUGGUUAUAGAGUGGAAGAAGAGUAGAGGGAAGGAUGCAUCUCCCAUGACUUGGUAGGUAUUUCAAGACGCUUUUCUAGAUAAGUUUUUCUUGCUAGAGAUGAGAGAAGCUAAGGUAGAAAAUUUUAUGAACCUAAGGCAAGGAUCCAUGAUAGUAAAGGAGUAUUGUCUUAAGUUUAACCAGUUAGCUAAGUAUGCUCCCGAUUUGAUAACUGACCCUAGAGCGAGUAUGAGUAAGUUUAUGACUGGUGUAUCUGGGUUUGUGUUGAAGGAGUGGAGGACUGAUAUGCUUAAUAGAUACUUGGAUCUUCCUAGGUUAAUGAUGCAUACUCAGCAGAUAGAGAUAGAUAAAUCUAAAGAGAGAGAGAGAUCUAACAAGAGAUCCAGAACAGGUAGUUACAACUUUUCUAAGGCUGGGUCACAGGAUGGUAGUCGUUCUUAGCAUAGCCAAAAAUUUUUAGUUCCAUCUCCAUCCUCAACUAGUUUACCCACACCAAAGUUUGGGGAUGUUAGUCAUGAUGGGGCGCCAGGAUCCAAAACCCAAGGUAGUACCAGCAGUGUUAGUACCUAUUCGCUUUGUAGAGAGUGUGUCAAGAAUCACCUAGGUGUGUGUAAAGCAAAUAGUCAGGUAUGUUUUGGAUGUGGUAAUCCAGGCCACAAAAUAUAGGAGUGUAUAGUUCUAGCUCAGAAGGGUAGAGAUUCACUUCAGCAGGGCACCACUCCUAGUACUACUAGCGGUCAGUAUCAGAAUCGACUCUAUGUAAUUCAGACUCGCCAUGACCAGAAAGGUUCCCCUAACAUAGAUUCGGGUACGUUAUAAGUACUUUAUAUUAAUGAUAUGCAUUGUUAUAUACCUUGCUCCUAUUUGAGCUUAUGUUUCAGCAUGAUUCAGUUAGCAACGCCAGCAAGUCAGUUUAGCAGUCAGACAGUCAGAUUCGUAUAGUUUGUUUUCUCAUCUUUCCAUCUAGUCAUGCUAUCAGCAGUCUUAGGAAUAUAAAUUUUCUAAGGUAGAAAGUCCUAGUAGUUGCAAGAUAAGUUCAGUUCAUGAGUCCUGCAUUAGUUUCAGCUCUCUGAGAUUUAGUUAUGAUCCAGUCUGUAGAUGCCUUAUGUAUCGCCCUAAUAUAUCAGUUAAGUAAGCAUUCUUAGAGGGACAUAGUGUCCCAAGGGGGAAAUAUCCUAUAACUCUCCAACGUUUUCCAUUCCUUAAACCCAUUCAGUUUUAUGCUCAGAUUCUCAUUAUAAGCUUUGCAUCAGUUAUCAUUGCAUAAUCAGUUAAGCAUUCCAAAGUCAGUUCAGUCAAGUAUCCAUACAUUAGAUAUGAAUGUUUAGUAGAAAAUCUCAGCUUAUUACUGUAUUCAGUUAUGCAUUCAUGAGGAAAACUCGGUCAUGAAUCCAUGCAUCAGAUAUGUAUUUCUAUUAUGAGAGUUCAACUUAUGAGUAGCUUCAGUCGUGUAUUCCAUGCAUCAGAUAUACAUAUUUGGUAUAAAAAUUUAACUUGUCAGUAGUUUCAGUCAUAUUAUCAUGUUUCACAUGCUCAUAUCCAGCAAGUAAGUUCCACCUGCUAGUAUUCUUAGCUUAAUCAGUCUCAUUCGAAGACGAAUGUUCCCAAGGGUGAGAUAUUGUAAUACCCCACACUUCUCCUAAUUCAAAUUCAUCUCUAGAACAUCAAAGCUCUUGCUUCAAAGAUGAAUAUAUUUUAUUUUAUGUGAAAUUAUUAAGAUUUUGACUUUUUAUCACAUGAGAAAUCGAAUAAGAUUUCCAUCGAUACUAAAUUUGCCCAAAUUCGAUACUCGGGCAAAGAGUUAGAGCUAUUUUAGUAAGACAGUGUACCACCUGGUACUUUGGCGCGUCGCGGAGUCAGUCAAAAUAGAAAUCAUCAAAAUCUAGUGAGCCUUCAUGAUUAUGGCGUGUUGUGCCAAGGCUCAGUUUUCCAAUUGUCCAAUUUCCAUUGAGCUAGCGGGAUUUCACCGCAUUGCGCCAGGAUGAGAAAUUUGGGAUUUUCAAAUUUCGUUUUAAAAUUUCAAGGACCAAUUGGUAAUUUCCUAAAGCUCCAAAUCAGUCAAUAUAAGGGAUUUAUACCCUAAAUAAUGAGAAUACUUCAUUAUUCAUCAAUUUUUCCCCAAAUCAAAAUAUUUUCUCUCUUAAGAAGUCAAGAACCCUAGCCAAGAAAUCAAGAAUGAGCCUAAGGAUUUCUUCAAGAACCUUCAAGAAAGAGUCUUCUAAGGAAUGUUAGAUGUUGAUUCUUGGGUUCCUUCCACCCAAGAAGUUCAAGAAUCCCUUUUUAAAUUCAAAGAUUACGAUUUUAUGAGUUUUCAUGCUUCAUGUGAAUUAAAGUUCAUGUUCAUGUUAUUGUUGAGAUAUAGUUCAUGCUUUAAAAUACAAGUUGCAAGAUUUGAUCUUGAUUUGAGUUGAAUUGCAUUAUGUCCAUGUUAAAUCUCUAAAUUUGCAUGUUGAUUGAUGUAUUUAUAAUAAUUAGGUGUAGAAAUUGUUGAAUAACCAAAGCAUGCUCCCCAUAUGUUUGAUAAAAUGUUUGUGUGAAAGAAAUAGGACCAUUAUAGCAUGUUUAGAAGAAAUCCCCAAUUAUGUAUUGGCCCAUGCAUGCCAGGUGUUCGUUGAAAAGCCUUAGGGAAUGAAUUAUGACAUGUUAGCAUGAAAUACCCCAAUUAUGUGUUCUUUAAUGCAUGUUAAGUGUUUGAUGUACGACCUUGUUGAAUGGAGUAUGAGCCAAUAAUCUGUCUCCCUAAACCAUCACAUGUUUAUGAUUUUCAAGUGCUUGAAGAGAUGCUUUAAUAAUUGUAAUGGUGAAUGAAAGUCCAUGGUCAUGAUUAUUCAAGAAUGGUUAUGUUUUAAUUUUAUGUUAUCGAGUCCUGGGGGUAUUUAUACCUGACAUUUUAGCUGCAAGUCUAGAGCCCAUGUUGGCACGAUAAUCUCAGUCAAGCCAUGAUUCUUAGAACUCAGUUAAUUACAAAUCUCAACACUCUCAGACAGUUAUAGAGCUUAAGAAAUCUCAGUAAUCUAAGUAUCAUUAGCAUUCCAGCCUCAGUUCUAUAAUCAACUCAGAUCUUAGUAGUAUCUAAGUGUUCAGUUCAGACCUCAGUAACAUUCAAGUAAUCAAUUCAGAACUCAGUAUUAUUUAGUUAGAUAACGAGAUCCAUUAGUGUUCCGUCAGUCUUUAAAACCAAGUGAACUCAUCUUAACUCAGUUGAUCAGUAUGCUCAGUAACAAAUUCAGCUCAGUUUAAGUUCAGUUAAGAAUAAGUUCAGAGUCCUUCAGUUGGGAGUAGUAACUAGAACCGAGCGAGUGUAGGGAUGAUGGCUUCCCCGUUAGAGAGGUAGAGUCAUUAGUAAUAAUCCCUGAAUUCCAGAACUGCGUAGCCAGCAUAGGACCAAAAGUCACCCGUUAGAUUAAGGCUUGACUAUCAUACUGCCCUAGGCUUGACUUUCUAUUCAAGGUCACCCGUUAGAGAGGCUUGACCAAAGCAGAGGUCUUUACCCGUGGCACGGUAUUGACACCCUUACAACUGGGGUUACAAGUUAGACCCGACUAGUUCAGAGUUGGGGCAUUUCAAUUGAGAACUCCCGCAUUUAUAGUUCAGUAUUAGUCGUUGCAAUAGCACUAAAAAAUUAGGACUAUCAAAUACAGUCAUUCAGCUCAGCGAGAAACUUUAGUAGUUCCAUAGAUUCAUAGAACACCCGCUAGAAAGGCCUGGUCUUACAUGAAAUUAACCAGUAUUAGUACUAAUAGAUUCUGAGAUCACCCGCUAGAUAGGCCUGAUCUCAAACUCGGAUUCAAUCAUUCCUUAUCAUUAUUACUAAAUUUAAAGAUCAACCACUAGAUAGGUUUGAUCUCAGUCUUAGUUAGUCGAUAUUAGUAAGCUCAGAAUUCAGUCAUCAGUAGACUCGGUUAUUUAGACUCUUAGUGUUAGUAAAUAUAGAUAUCAGUAUUAUUAGACUCAGUAGUCAGAAGUUUAAGUAUUUAGUCCAUGCAUAUAUCCUCAUUCAGUACUCUCAUGUUAUUCAGUUAAGUUAUGUUCAUGCAUAAUCCCUUGCAUUUAGCCUUACAUCAUCUAGCAUACCAGUACAUUUAAAGUACUAACACAUAAUUUUCUCUUGCGCUAUGGUGUCUUAUACCAUAGGUUCAAAUGAGCGAGAACCAGAUCACCCUUAGAAGUCCUGACUCAGCCAGCAGCAGUUGACUUAGCAGUGAGUCCUCAUCAUUCGAGUAUGAUCCUUAUUUUAUUAUGGAAUUAGACUUAGUUAAUUUUUAGUAGACGGAGUUAGUUGGGCACAUGUCCCAUCAACUCCACAGUUCAGACAGUUUAGAGGCUUUUCAGAUAAAUGUAUUAUUAUUUAGUUUUCAGUAUUGAUUAUUUUAGAUAUUUUAACCUUAUGGCAAGUUUCUGCCAGUUUGUAUUUAUUUCAGUAUAUUAUGCAGUGCUCAGUUACAAAUAACAAAGGGUUAGCUUAUGGUCCCUCGGGGUCAUGAACACCGUGUGGCAUGUCGAUUUUCAAAAAUUAGGACAUUACAUGCGAUCUUAGUGUGCCACAUCACCAAUCACAUUGGUUGAUAUUGUUGCAGGUUUCCAUGGUCAACGUACUGAGACUCGACGCGAUGAUGGUGUGACACAUCGACUAUCGCGUCGAUAAUAACAUUAAUGCCCAGUUUCAGUCAUUAAAUGUCUGUAUUUUUAUGGGCAGAAGGGUUAAUUUUGCACCCCUAUAUAAGUCUAAAAUAUGUGAUUUAGCCCCAAUUCAACCAAAAUAUAGUGUCUCUCUCAAGUUUCUCUCAAGAACAAGUUAGAAUUUUCAAUUAAGGAUUCAAAUUCAAUACUCAAAUUCAAGAAUCUCUCCAUCAAUCAUCGUAAAAUCAAGAACUAAGGUAUGUCAAGUGUUAAUUUAUGGAUUUCUUUCAUCCAUGAAGUCCAAGAACCAUCUUUCAAAUUAUAAAACAUGAUAUUUAUGUUGUGAGUUAUUUGUAACCAUGUUUAUCUUGUUGUAUGAUUCUCAAGUUGAAAUCUUUAUGUGUUUUUUAUGAAACUAUGUUAGCAUGCAAGUUGAAAUCUAUGAAAUUUAGUUGUUUAUGAUGUUUAAGUUGAUGAUUGCACCUAUGCCCUAAGUUGUGCAUGUAAGAUGUUUGAAAAAAUGCCUAAGAGGAUAGAAAUUAUGUAUUAUAGCUCAAUUAUAACUCAAAUAAUAAAUGCAUGCUUUACCCUUAUGACCAAGAAUGACUUCCGUGAUAUUGUGUGCAUUAUGAGUAUUUGAUGAAAUGUUCAUAAGAUUAGGUUGAUGAAAGUAUGACAUGUCUAUAUGCAAUUUGAUCCAUGUACAACAUUAUGAUAACCAUGUGCUUCAUGAAAUCUCCAAAUUAUUGUAUUAUAAAUUGUUGAUAUUGGUUAUGUGUUCAAGAAGUAUCAAGUUUUGUCAGUUUCAUGCUAUCGAGUCCUGGGGGUACUUUUACCCAAAAAUUUAGCUGUGUGCCUAGAGCUAGUGUUAGUUUUCAUGAUACUCUCAAUCAAGCCAUGAUCAUUAGAAUUCAGUCAGUUACAUGACUCAGGAAAACUUAGUAAUCUCAAUACUCUUGGUAAUCUCAGUAACCUCAGUAAUCUCAGCUAGUUAUCAGAUCUCAGUAGUAUUCCAUCAGUUAAUGGAAAUUUAGUGAACUCUAUUCAAAUCAACUAAACAAUACUAUCAGUAACAGUUCUGUUCAGUUAAAAUUAGUUUAGUGUCUCUUCAGUUGGGAGUAGGAUUCGGCACCGAGUGAACCCAAGGAUGGGGACUCACCUAUUAGAUAGUAGAGAGUGUUAUCCUUAGAAUCAAUCCUUUCAUUCCAGAACUACGUAGCCAUUUAGGUUGAGAUGUACCCUACAAGUUUAUGAAUUAUACACCUCAUCUGAGUUUUCCUACUAGGAGGGGUUGAUGGAAGAGCUUCCUGUCAGAGAGGGUUUACUCAUAGCUUAUCUUUACACGUGGCACUGUACUGACACCCUUACAGCUGGGGUUAGAGGUUGGACCCCACCAAUUUAGUUUUAGGGUAUGUCUAUUAGAUGAAUACCUCCCAUAAUCUCAAUUUCGAAUCCAGUCUCAGUAAUAGAAUUCAGUUCAGUUCUACAGUUUUAGGACUGUCAGUUAUAGUCGCUCAGCUCAGUACGAAACUCAGCUAGUUCCAUUAGAAUCAGGACUGUCAGACAUAAUCACCCAAUUAAUAAUAUAUUAUUUAUACUAAAUUCAUAUUACUAGUAUUUAGAUUUCAGGACUGUCAGAUACAUCAAAUUAGACCAGUUCUUCAUAAUCAAAACUGUCAGAAACAAUCAUUCCUUUAUCAGUAAUGUGACAUCAGUUCCUCAGUACUCAAUGGACUUAGUCAUUCAGUAUCCCAGUAUUAGUACUCAGAUAUCAUUAAAUCCACGUUAUCAGAAUUCAUGAGUCAGUUUUGUCAUGAUCUCAGUUACAGUUACGUAUUCAUGCAUGUAUUCUCAUGUUCAUGUUAUUCAGUCAGUUAGUAUUGUUCAUGCAUAUGAACCAUUUCAUUCAUCCUACCUCACUUUCAUACCAGUACAUUCAAUCAUACUGACGCAUUUGCGCUAUGAUGUUUUAUACCAUAGAUUCAGAAGCACACGCUCCAGAGUAUUAGUAGCAUUCCAGUUUCAGCAGUCAGUCCUCAUUAUUCGAGGAUGUUAUUAUUUGAUAUUUCAUUUUUUUAGUACUUAGUUUAUUUCAGCAGAUGGAGUUAGUUGGGGGAUUGUCCCAUCAACUCUUUAUUCAGAUAGUUUAGUUUUGGAGGCUUUCAGACUACAGCACGGUCAGACAGUUAUUUUAGUUGUUUUGGUAUUGUUAUACCAUAUUUUAAGUUAUGUAUCAGUAUUGAACCUUAUGGCCUUUCAAUUCUUGUUUUUGUAUUUACAAUAUUACUAUUAUUAUUAUUAUUCAGUUCUCAGUUACAGAUAUUAGUCAUGGGUUAGCUUGUGGUCCUUCGGGAUUAUGAGCACCAUGUAGCCUUUUGGGUACUAGAUUUGGGGCGUUACACUAAGACUAUCUCAUAUCACAGUAUUUGGUUCAAAUAUAUGUUAAUCUAUAAGAAAUAUUUAUCCAAAUCUUAAGCAACUAUGCUUGUGGAUUGUCCAAAUCUUAAGCAACUAUGCUUGUGGAUCCAUGUCUUUCUUUUAAAGGGCUAGUUGAUUAUAUUAUGCUAGAUUUAAUUUUUUGUAAGAUUGUUUAAGAGUUGGUUUAAUUCUUUUUCGUUGGAUAAUUUUGUUUGUUUUGAUAUCAUAAUUUACUAUUUAUUUAAGCUUGAGAAUGUUAUCUUUUUCAUCUCAUCAUUUAUCUAUUACGUGUACGAUUUUCGAACACAUAUUAAUUCUUUUUCUUUUAUCCUUUUCUUUGCAUGAAUCUGUUCUGAAGUCCAUAUGAACUCCUUUCUUCUUGCAUUCCAUAAUGGGCCAACGAGGCCUACCUCUCCUAGUCAACUCCAAAGUUUAAACCCAAAUUCAAUUUUAUGGCGUGUGGGUGCAAGAAGAUGGAAGAAGGAAAAUGGGUCAAAUCCCAUUGAUGAGGUCGCUAAGAGACUUAUUCUUAGCUAUUUGGAACUUAAAUUAUUGUCUUAUUUUUUAUUUAUUUUUGUAUUUAUUUAUUUAUCUAUCUAUUUGUUCAUUCAUUUGGGCUUCGAAUCCAAAGUGGUAAUUUAAUAUAGGUGAAGCAGAUUUUGGGCCUUAAAGGUCCGAAAACUAGCUUAGGACAGGUUAUGGGUAAAAAAUCCAAGUAUUUAGAUUAGGACAGGUGAAGAUGGACCAAAAGUUCAAAUUUGAUUAGGACAAGAUUUAUGGAUUUGGGUCUAAUGGCCUAUGUCCUUUAGUCUCUCCCUUUCACCUUUAUAUGCUAAUUGUUCUUAAUUUUUUAGACUUAGUUAAAAAUCCCCGCUAAGUUGCCAAAAUUCGUUUUGCACAAAUCUUGAAGACAAAUUUUUUCUUUAUCGUUUUCUUUUCAAAAAUCAAUUUCCCUUUUUAAGUUAGUCCAAAAAGUUAUUUUCAAAUAAUCCGAAUAACCGAAAGUUAGCGGAUACUCUUAGUGCCUUAACAAUCUUCCAAGAGUAUUAAUAGGAACCACUUACUCAAAAUUUCUUAACUUAAAUAUAUUUUUUCUGCAUGGAAUUUUCAAGUAAUAUUUUUAGUUUUUCUUUAUAUUUUCUCAAAAAUCAAGUGACGACUCUGUAAUUUCUUAAUUGUUUUGAACUUUUCUUUAAGUUUUUGAAAUAGUUUAAAAAGUUAAAAAUAAUAUUUUCAAACCCUUUGAAUUGAAAAGGGGAAAACAUCAUCCCCUUGACCAUUUUGCUCAACGCAACAUCAUCACUUGUCAUACACACUUUUAAAUAAGCAUCUAGUUCAUAAAUAUAUACUCAAAAUGAACAUUACAAGUGACAUACCGUGAACCUGAAACGUUUAAAAUGAGCUCAUAAAAUCUUUCAAAAAACUUUAUCAUAUUCCUCACAUUUACCCAAUCAUCACUUUGGAUCCUGCAACACUACUAUCUUUACAAACAUUUGUAGAAAGAUAAGAUUUAAAGUUAUCAUCAUAAAGAUCAAACCUCUCAAAAGCCUUCUCAAAUCUUUCUGCCACCUCCAACAUCAAAUAUGUGGAAUUUCACCUAGUAGGCACUCCUAAUGAUAACAUCUUACCAUAUUCCAUCUUUUGCAUUUCACAACAUUUCAUGAAGUUUCUUGUUCUUGCAGUAGAGGAUCUAACGUACUUAACUAUUUGCCUUACCCAUUUGAUAGAAGGACCAAUUUUGUUCAAAUGUCUUGCACAAUUAAAUUAGGUAUGUCGCCAUACAUCUCACGUGGAGAUGUUUACCAUCCAUCACAUUGGUUCCUCAUAUAUUUAACUUCUUAGACAAUGCAGAAAUUGCAACAUUAUUUGAAGAAGCAUUGUUAAUAGUAACAGUGAACACAUUAUCCAAAUUCUUAUCAAGCAAAUAAUUACUAAUACAAUCUGCCAAAUUCUCACAUUUAUGAUUAGUGAUAGGGAAAAAAAUUUAAUAUUCCUUUAUGAAACACCCAAUCUCUAUUAAUAACGUGAGCAGUCAAACACAUAUAGUUAAUUCUCUACAUUGAUGUUCAUGUGUCUGUUGUAAGACAAAAUUUUGGUUGCAUUUCUUCAAAAGAUCACUUCAAGUUUAGUCUCAAUUCACCAUAAGCAUUACAAUAAUCUCUUGUUAUUGUUCUAUGGGAAGGAAUCAAAAAUAAAGGUUGGGCUUUACCCAUAAAUUUCUUAAAACCUUCAUUUUCUACGGAGCUAAAUGGUAGUUUAUCUACAAUUAUUAUCUCGACUAAAGCUCUCCAAAAUACCUCUUACUCAAAUUUUCAAUAUUCUCCCGAGGAAUCCUUUAUUUAAAAAAUUAACAAUAUUUGACCACUAGACGGGGUGGGCGGAGACUUAUACAUUUUGUAUCUAGCCAAAUGUUGUCUAAGUCUACUUUUUUCAUUUUUAGUUGAAUUAGCACCAUAGUUUUGAUGACAAUGUAAAUACGUUGCUUUAGAAAGUUUACCAUUUUCAAAUAUCUUAUAAAAAUGUUCCCAAGCUGUAGAUCUAUUUUUCAUUUCUUUCUUUUUCUUUGAAUCCACAAUGUCAGUUGAGUUGUCAUUGCUAUUAUCGGGUACAUUAUCAGUUGAACCAGCUGCACUAACUCGACUUUCAUUAGCCAUCUAUGUAAAUUAAAAGAGAAAACAAAAUUAGAAGUGUUUACCUUUUGUGAAGUGAGAUUAUUUCAAAAAAUCAAAAAAAUCAGUUUACAAUUGACAAAUUUAGUCAAUCAGUAAAAUGAAAAAUCACUAAAAUAUUAUUUUACAGAAAUAGAACCCUCGAUUAAAAUGGAAAUUUAGAAAAGGGAAGAAGAAAAAUAAAAAAUAAGUAAGCGGUACCUCGUUCGCCGUUCGCCAUUCCCAUUUGUCGUUGGUUCGGUGGUUCAUCGUUCGCCGUUAUUUGGCACUUUUUGCUAUGUAUAGACUAUUGAUAUCAGCCUCUUCACCAAUUUCAUUUUCGCUAAAUAUAAUAGCUAGGUAAUAGGAGUACCUAUUAUUUGGAUUUU